This is a non-coding RNA of Myotis brandtii (Brandt's bat), 75 nucleotides long. Lineage: Eukaryota; Metazoa; Chordata; Mammalia; Chiroptera; Vespertilionidae. The record is from Rfam.
GGCAGUCCUUGGGUGACGCAUCCUGGAAUCAGGCUCCCUCCUCUCUGGUUCCAGGUAUGUCACCUGAAAACCGCA